RNAcentral lists this ribosomal RNA (1463 nucleotides) under uncultured Bordetella sp. RNAcentral describes it as "partial 16S-23S ribosomal RNA intergenic spacer". It matches the Rfam family "Bacterial small subunit ribosomal RNA". The record is from RNAcentral. Lineage: Bacteria; Pseudomonadati; Pseudomonadota; Betaproteobacteria; Burkholderiales; Alcaligenaceae.
AGUUCCGAUCCUGGCUCAGAUUGAACGCUGGCCGGGAUGCUUUACAUGCAAGUCAGACGGCAGCACGGACUUCAGUCUGGUGGCGAGUGGCGAACGGGUGAGUAAUGUAUCGGAACGUGCCUAGUAGCGGGGGAUAACCUACGCGAAAGCGUAGCUAAUACCAUACGCCCUUCGGGAAAGCGGGGGACCUUCGGGCCUCGCACUAUUAGAGCGGCCGAUAUCAGAGUUAGCUGAAUUGGUGGGAAUGGCUGGCUCGCAAGGCGCUGAUCGCCGGCUGGUUUGAGAGGACGACCAGCCACACUGGGACUGAGACACGGCCCAGACUCCUACGGGGAGGCAGCAGUGGGGAAUUUUGGAUAAUGGGGAAGCCUGAUCCAGCCAUCCGCGUGUGCGAUGAAGGCCUUCGGGUUGUAAAGCACUUUGGCAGGAAAGAAACGGCACGGGACCCAAUACCCCAGUACAUGACGACCUGCAGAAUAAGCACCGGCUAACUACGUACCAGCAGCCGCGGUAAUACGUAAGUGCAAGCGUUAAUCGGAAUUACUGGGCGUAAAGCGUGCGCAGGCAGUUCGGAAGAAAAGAUGUGAAAUCCCAGAACUUAACUUUGGAACUGCAUUUUCGCUACCGAGCUAGAGUGUGUGGAGGAGGUGGAAUUCCGCGUGUAGCGGUGAAAUGCGUAGAUAUGCGGAGAACACCGAUGGCGAAGAAGGCAGCCUCCUGGGAUAACACUGACGCUCAUGCACGAAAGCGUGGGGAGCAAACAGGAUUCGAUCCCUGGUAGUCCACGCCCUAAACGAUGUUCGCUGUUAGGCGCUUCGGGCCUUGGUAGCGCAGCUAACGCGUGAAGUUGACCGCCUGGGAGAUCUGGUGCAAGAUUUAAACUCAAAGGAAUGGCAGGGAUUCACCCUGACGAUGGAUGAUGGUUAAUUCGAUGCAACGCGAAAACCUUACCUACCCUUGACAUGUCUGGGUGAAGAGAUUUGGGAGUGCUCGCAAGAAACCGGAACCUGGUGCUGCAUAGCUGUCGUCAGCUCGUCGUGAGAUGUUGGGUUAAGUCCCGCAACAGCGCAACCCUUGUCAUUAGUUGCUACGAAGGGCACUCCUAAUGAGACUGCCGGUGACAAACCGGAGGAAGGUGGGGAUGACGUCGAUCCUCUUGGCCCUUAUGGUGAGGCUUCCACACGUCAUACAAUGGUGGGACGGAAGGUCGCCUUCCGCGAGGGGGAGCCAAUCCAGAAACCCGAUCGUAGUCGGAUCGCAGUCUGCAACUCGACUGCGUGAAGUCGGAAUCGCUAGUAAUCGCGGAAUCAGCAUGUCGCGGUGAACUCGUUCCCGGGUCUUGUACACACCGCCCGUCACACCAUCGGGAGAUGGGUUUUACCAAAGUAAGUUAGCCUAACCGUAAGGAGGCGAUUACCACGGUAGGAUUCAUGACUGGGAAUUGAAGUCGUAACAAAGGUAAA